RNAcentral lists this transfer RNA (83 nucleotides) under Canis lupus familiaris (dog). It matches the Rfam family "tRNA". From Rfam's summary of the family: Transfer RNA (tRNA) molecules are approximately 80 nucleotides in length. Lineage: Eukaryota; Metazoa; Chordata; Mammalia; Carnivora; Canidae. The record is from Rfam by way of RNAcentral. RNAcentral also lists the same sequence under 1 other name.
ACCUGAGUGGCUCAGUGGUUGAGCAUCUGCCUUUGGCUCAGGUUGUGAUCCCCGGGUCUUGGGAUCGAGUCCCACAUCAGGCU